RNAcentral lists this long non-coding RNA (441 nucleotides) under Phaseolus vulgaris (common bean). Its description in RNAcentral is "long non-coding RNA (PVUL_LNC004373)". Lineage: Eukaryota; Viridiplantae; Streptophyta; Magnoliopsida; Fabales; Fabaceae. The record is from RNAcentral.
UUCCAAAGGCUCACCCUAACUCCUUUGCUUUGUUUCAGGAUUCACAUAGAUUGACAUUUGAUCCGGGAGGAUACACCUUGACGAAGCAAGAGGCUGCUAUCCGAGAUCAAGCAUGCACAUCUGAGGAUAGAUCUUCUCCUGAAGGAGGAGAUGAUGGAAACCAUCCAGCCACAACCAUCCCCCGAGCAAAAGCCUUGGAUUUGAGGACAAAUCCUUUUCAAGAGGGAGGGGAUGAUGGAGGAGGGCCCAAGCUCACCACACUAUGAAAGCCAAGCUUCCAAGACUAAGAUCGUCUAGCCAUGAUGAGAGCGUCUAGCCUCAACAAAAGGAGUGUCUAGCCAUGAGGAGGAGCGUCUAGGCCAUGAAGAGGAGCGGCUACAUAAGGAGCAUCUAUGAAGAGUCCUAGACCGUCUAGCUUCACAUAUACAUGGGCCAAGCUAC